This is a long non-coding RNA of Zingiber officinale, 669 nucleotides long. RefSeq lists it as uncharacterized. The record is from RefSeq and is a predicted model, not a curated record. The transcript has 3 exons. Lineage: Eukaryota; Viridiplantae; Streptophyta; Magnoliopsida; Zingiberales; Zingiberaceae.
UUCUCCCUUGCCCUAAGCCGACACCGCUCAUCCCCUCUCCUCUUUCCGCGGUCGUCGACCUCUCUCUCCUCACCCGAUCGUCACCGGUGAAGUCCUCAGCCGGCAAUGUUCUCGUGACCUCGAGGUUGUAGCAUCGUCUCCUCCCACACAACGCCAACUGACGAGCUCUCCCAAUCUUGUCAUCGCCGAUUGCCAUUGCCAAUCCUCUUCCGCUGUGGUCUCCGCUGUCACCGAGUGCAGUCAUCACCGAGUGCAGCCGUCGCCGGAAGGAAGGAGCAACACUAGCCUCCGCGUGCCUCUGCCCUAGUGCGACCGCCGCCCCAAUCUCCUCUUCCCUCCCGAGCCGCACACUGCCGCUUGACGCCGCCACCCUCUCUGACCACAGUCCAAUGUCGAGCCCUUCAUCUCCCGAUGCUCUCAGUUUCUUCUCGCAUCACACCGUCGAUCCUCCCUUCACUGAGUUCAACAGCCGUGUGACCUAAGCCCUGUCGGAGAGGGAACUGCCAAUUUAGGAUUACAGGAUAGUUGUAGAUUGUCGUUGUUGGCUGUAAGCCACUUCCAGUGCUACCUUGUUGCAAAUUUGGGGAUUUGAGUUGGAUGUGAUCUUUGAAUCUUGUUGAAGAUGGUUGACACGAGCUACGUAUAAAGGCGGGUACUUCUUACUUUGUC